AAUUUUGGACAAUGGGGGAAACCCUGAUCCAGCCAUCCCGCGUGUAUGAUGAAGGCCUUCGGGUUGUAAAGUACUUUUGGCAGAGAAGAAAAGGUAUCUCCUAAUACGAGAUACUGCUGACGGUAUCUGCAGAAUAAGCACCGGCUACCUACGUGCUAGCAGCCGCGGUAAUACGUAGGGUGCAAGCGUUAAUCGGAAUUACUGGGCGUAAAGCGUGUGUAGGCGGUUCGGAAAGAAAGAUGUGAAAUCCCAGGGCUCAACCUUGGAACUGCAUUUUUAACUGCCGAGCUAGAGUAUGUCAGAGGGCGGUAGAAUUCCACGUGUAGCAGUGAAAUGCGUAGAUAUAGGAAGGAACAUCGGUGGCGAAGGCGGUUUACUGGACCAUAACUGACGCUGAGACACGAAAGCGUGGGGAGCAAACAGG
RNAcentral lists this ribosomal RNA (424 nucleotides) under uncultured bacterium. RNAcentral describes it as "partial 16S ribosomal RNA". It matches the Rfam family "Bacterial small subunit ribosomal RNA", at positions 360 to 776 of the family's 1533-position model. The record is from RNAcentral.